This is a non-coding RNA of Araneus ventricosus, 74 nucleotides long. NCBI's taxonomy places the organism in Eukaryota, Metazoa, Arthropoda, Arachnida, Araneae, Araneidae. The record is from the annotation of a GenBank genome assembly.
CGUCCUUUCGCGUCGUGGUUAGCGUUCCUGCCUGCCAACUAUAGGAAUUCGGGUUCAAAUCCCGGACAGGAUGA